Penaeus monodon (black tiger shrimp) is the source of this 178-nucleotide long non-coding RNA. RefSeq lists it as uncharacterized. The record is from RefSeq and is a predicted model, not a curated record. The transcript is spliced from 2 exons. Lineage: Eukaryota; Metazoa; Arthropoda; Malacostraca; Decapoda; Penaeidae.
UUAACCCUGAUUCCUUGUGAGAAAGGGAGGCUUUUCUUUAGAUUUGGGUGGUGGCUCGACUGGAAGUGUAAAUAUUGAUCCGGGUGGAACUGGUUGAGGUCUCUGUAGUAUUCUUGAAGUUCUUCCUCUGUGCCCUGGAACACUCCAAAUAUAUCAUCAAUAUAUCUAUAAAAUAAGA